CUUGGAGGGGGUGUGCUGCUAUUCGUAUCCAGCAGGUAGAGGACAAGGAUGAUACUGAACAUCUUACAACGUAUAGCACAGCCCCCCACGACAAAGGCCUGUCUAGUCUAAACUGUCCACAGUGCUGAGGUUGAGAAACUCUGGGUUAAACCAAUGAAAAGGGCAGCACUCUUGGUAGAGUAGCAGAAUCCGGCCAAUGGGAGGGAUUUAGACAUUGAAAUUGAAGUUCAAAAUACAUAAUUAACUCAGAGCUAAAGGAAGCAGAUUCCUUGGCUUCUGAUAAGGCUAUAUCCCACGAGGGUUGAGCACAUCACAGGAACUCAAUAACUACCUGAUGAAUUAAUGAAAUAUCAGAAUUACCAUAAGGUUCCAUGGUUUUACCCUUAAAAAAAAGAAAAAAAAAACUUGGAAGACACUCAUUCUGUUAGCUCUAAAAGCUUGUACUAGUGGACAUCAUUUAUAGAGCCAGGAACUCUGGAAAAGGAAUUUAUACAUUCUUAGAAACCAGAGGGUAUAAUCCCAGCACUUUGGGAGGCCAAGGCAGGUGGAUCACUUGAGGUCAGGAGUUCAAAACCAGCCUGGUCAACAUGGUGAAACCCCAACUCUACUAAAAAUACAAAAAUUCACCGGGUGUGGUGGCACGGACCUGGAAUCCCAGCUAUUCGGGAGACUGAGGAAGGAGAAUUGCUUAAACCCAGGAGGCGGAAGUUGCAAAGAGCCAAGAUCGCACCAUUGCACUCCAGCCUGGGUGACAGAGCAAGACUCCAUCUCAAAAGAAAAGAAAAGAAAGAAAGGAAGGAAGGAAGGAAGGAAGGAAGGAAGGAAGGAAGGAAGGAAGGAAGAAAGAAGGAAAGAAACCAGAGGGCUUAGAAAUAGAGAGGGCAUCUCAGCCAUGGGCAAUGGUUCACACCGGUCAUAAGAGCCCUUUGAGAGGCUGAGGCAGGAGGAUCACUUGAAGCCAGGAGUUUCAGACCAGCCUGGGCAAC
Molecule: long non-coding RNA, 986 nt
Filed under: Homo sapiens (human)
Lineage: Eukaryota; Metazoa; Chordata; Mammalia; Primates; Hominidae
Description: HSALNT0135557
Source: RNAcentral